AUGCAGUUCAUAAUUUGUAGAUUUCGGGUAGCAUUAACUAGCAAUGGUGUCUACUGAUAUCUCGGUUAAUAACAAUGUUAAAAAAAAAAAAAGUGAACCUACUGUAAAUCUAAUAAUAAUAGGAUGAUGCCGUACGUGGAGUGCAAUACCUAGUUUUUACAAAAACACCAUUGACAAAUUGUUGUAAAUAAGAUGUAUAAUAUACGCUGUGUCGUAGGGUAUUUAUGAACUAUUACAGUAACUGGUAAUGGUCACUGUACAACAGCCGGUGGUUGAGUGGCCAAGUUAGCUUACGCCCUUUUUGCUCUUUGGUACAAGCGGUUUUAAACAGCGUAACGUUGCACGAAU
Molecule: non-coding RNA, 348 nt
Organism: Cinara cedri
Lineage: Eukaryota; Metazoa; Arthropoda; Insecta; Hemiptera; Aphididae
Source: the annotation of a GenBank genome assembly